Molecule: long non-coding RNA, 229 nt
Filed under: Lathyrus oleraceus (garden pea)
Lineage: Eukaryota; Viridiplantae; Streptophyta; Magnoliopsida; Fabales; Fabaceae
Description: Pisum sativum (pea) long non-coding RNA (PSAT_LNC031599)
Source: RNAcentral
ACACACGGCGGAUCAUAUAGGAUCGAUUGUAAAUUUAUUUCAAAAUUAAAUCAAACGCUGAAUAUUUUCGAGAAGUUUAUUUCACGUUGAUCAUUUUGAUGCAGUCAAUUUAUUUUUUAUGGUAUUUUUAUGCCCGACUUUUAUUUAUUUUGAGUCUUUUUAUUUUUUCAUUUUUAUCAAAGUGUCUAGAAAAAUUAAAUAGAAUUAUUGGUGUUUUAAUUAUAUUUUU